CAGAUUAUAGCAUAUAUAAUGCUUUUUAUUUACACUAAAAAAAAAAUAUUUAUUAUUUAAUCUGA
RNAcentral lists this transfer RNA (65 nucleotides) under Gastrostomobdella monticola. Its description in RNAcentral is "tRNA-Val". Lineage: Eukaryota; Metazoa; Annelida; Clitellata; Hirudinida; Gastrostomobdellidae. The record is from RNAcentral.